UUCCUGUACACUCACUCCCCCUGAGCAUACGGAUUCUCUGGACAUGGCCAAUGACAGAGGGCACUAAAGUAAUAACCACUGUCUUCAGUAUUGCUUCGUACGGAGUCUGGUGAUUCCCUGUAAUCCAUUCUCUGAGAUCCUCAGGAUUCUGACUUUGAAGACAACACACGGAAGUAAAAGCAAUUACAAUGUAGCAGCCUCUUCAGUUUCCUGGCAAGUCUAAAAUCCUUCCUUCUCUCACUUGAAGAAGACUACUUGCCUUGGGAUCACUGGGUGUAAAUUUCUACUAUGAAUCUGGAGCAGACAUAUGGCACUAGCUAUGCAGGUGUCUGGACUGCCUGAUGAAGCCCAAUGGAUCGUGACUGAUAUCUUGAUCGUGCAAUUCAGUCUCUGCCCUGAAGAAACAGAUGAACUGUGCAAUUCAUUGUCCUUGAACAGUUUGAACAAGAGUCCAAAAGUCUGGAAGUUUUUGGUCUCAGCUUAUUGAGACAAUUCUCACUCUGACUGAUAUCGGGAAAGGAUUCAGAAAUCUAACUACUAGUGGCUUCUUUUUCUGACUCCAUCCAAAAAUAUGAGAUUUCCUCCAAGAAUGCAUUGGUUUACUGUUGGAAGUCAGAAAAAAAGGGAAACACACUUCUUAGGAUGUUUUACAGAAAUUGCUCUGCAGAUCAGACGGGCAAGCUAUUUCAAAAAAAAAAAAAAUAGAUUGAAGUUUUAAGUUGCCUUGGAGAAUACAUAUUUUAAACGUUUAAACAUGAUGUUACCAUGCUGCAUAUGGGGAAUUAAAAGUAGUUAGAGAUUCUACAAAGCUAGAAAGUAAUGGCACAAUAAAAUAUAAACCACAAUAUUAUUUCUGAAAUAA
RNAcentral lists this long non-coding RNA (862 nucleotides) under Anser cygnoides (Swan goose). Its description in RNAcentral is "lncRNA (ENSACDG00005006912.1)". Lineage: Eukaryota; Metazoa; Chordata; Aves; Anseriformes; Anatidae. The record is from RNAcentral.